This 468-nucleotide ribosomal RNA is filed under the name uncultured bacterium. RNAcentral describes it as "partial 16S ribosomal RNA". It matches the Rfam family "Bacterial small subunit ribosomal RNA", at positions 28 to 507 of the family's 1533-position model. The record is from RNAcentral.
GACGAACGCUGGCGGCGGGCUUAACACAUGCAAGUCGAACGGAAAGGCCCUGCUUUUGUGGGGUGCUCGAUUGGCGAACGGGUGAGUAACACGUGAGUAACCUGCCCUUGAGUUUGGGAUAACUUCAGGAAACUGGGGCUAAUGGCGGAUAGGAGCUCGUGCUGCAUGGGGGGGGUGGGAAAGUUUCGGCGGUUGGGGGUGGACUCGCGGCUUAUCAGCGUGUUGGUGGGGGAGUGGGUUACCAAGGCUGUGACGGGGAGCCGGCCUGAGAGGGUGACCGGCCACAUUGGGACUGGGAUACGGACCAGACUCCUACGGGAGGCAGCAGUGGGGAAUAUUGCACAAUGGGAGGAAGCCUGAUGCAGCAACGCCGCGUGCGGGAUGACGGCCUUCGGGUUGUAAACCGCUUUCGCCUGUGACGAAGAGUGAGUGACGGUAAUGGGUAAAGAAGCACCGGCUAACUACGUG